GACGAACGCUGGCGGCGUGCUUAACACAUGCAAGUCGAACGGAAAGGCCCUGCCUUUGUGGGGUGCUGGAGUGGCGGAGGGGUGAGUAACACGUGGGUACCCUGUCCUUGACUUUGGGAUAACUUCAGGAAGCUGGGGCUAAUACCGGAUAGGAGCUACUGCUGCAUGGUGGGGGUUGGAACGUUUCGGCGGUUGGGGAUGGACUAGCGGCUUAUCAGCUUGUUGGUGGGGUAGUGGAUUACCAAGGCUUUGUCGGGUAGCAGGCCUGAGCGGGUGACCGGCCACACUGGGACUGAGAUACGGCCCAGACUCCUACGGGACGCAACAGUGGGGAAUAUUGCACAAUGGGCGGAAGCCUAAUGCAGCAACGCCGCGUGCGGGAUGACGGCCUUCCGGUUGUAAACCGCUUUCGCCUGUGACGAAGCGUGAGUGACGGUAAUGGGUAAAGAAGCACCGGCUAACUACGUG
Molecule: ribosomal RNA, 468 nt
Filed under: uncultured bacterium
Lineage: Bacteria
Description: partial 16S ribosomal RNA
Rfam family: Bacterial small subunit ribosomal RNA
Source: RNAcentral